This 74-nucleotide transfer RNA is filed under the name Bacteroidota bacterium. Its description in RNAcentral is "Bacteroidetes bacterium tRNA-Ile". It matches the Rfam family "tRNA". Rfam says of the family: Transfer RNA (tRNA) molecules are approximately 80 nucleotides in length. Their secondary structure includes four short double-helical elements and three loops (D, anti-codon, and T loops). Further hydrogen bonds mediate the characteristic L-shaped molecular structure. tRNAs have two regions of fundamental functional importance: the anti-codon, which is responsible for specific mRNA codon recognition, and the 3' end, to which the tRNAs corresponding amino acid is attached (by aminoacyl-tRNA synthetases). tRNAs cope with the degeneracy of the genetic code in two manners: having more than one tRNA (with a specific anti-codon) for a particular amino acid; and 'wobble' base-pairing, i.e. permitting non-standard base-pairing at the 3rd anti-codon position. RNAcentral also lists the same sequence under 2 other names. The record is from RNAcentral. Lineage: Bacteria; Pseudomonadati; Bacteroidota.
GGGCCCAUAGCUCAGUUGGUUAGAGCAUCUGACUCAUAAUCAGAGGGUCACAGGUUCGAGACCUGUUGGGCCCA